GACGAACGCUGGCGGCGGUGCCUAAUACAUGCAAGUCGAACGAACUCUGGUAUUGAUUGGUGCUUGCAUCAUGAUUUACAUUUGAGUGAGUGGCGAACUGGUGAGUAACACGGUGGGAAACCUGCCCAGAAGCGGGGGAUAACACCUGGAAACAGAUGCUAAUACCGGCAUAACAACUUGGACCGCAUGGUCCGAGUUUGAAAGAUGGCUUCGGCUAU
This 218-nucleotide ribosomal RNA is filed under the name uncultured bacterium. RNAcentral describes it as "partial 16S ribosomal RNA". It matches the Rfam family "Bacterial small subunit ribosomal RNA", at positions 28 to 221 of the family's 1533-position model. The record is from RNAcentral.